CUGAUCUAGCCAUGCCGCGCGAGUGAUGAAGGCCCUAGGGUCGUAAAGCUCUUUCAACUGUGAAGAUAAUGACGGUAGCAGUAGAAGAAACCCCGGCUAACUCCGUGCCAGCAGCCGCGGUAAUACGGAGGGGGUUAGCGUUGUUCGGAAUUACUGGGCGUAAAGCGUACGUAGGCGGAUUAAUAAGUUAGAGGUGAAAUCCCAGGGCUCAACCCUGGAACUGCCUUUAAAACUGUUAGUCUUGAGAUCGAGAGAGGUGAGUGGAAUUCCAAGUGUAGAGGUGAAAUUCGUAGAUAUUUGGAGGAACACCAGUGGCGAAGGCGGCUCACUGGCUCGAUACUGACGCUGAGGUACGAAAGUGUGGGGAGCAAACAGGAUUAGAUACCCUGGUAGUCCACACCGUAAACGAUGAAUGCCAGACGUCAGCAAGCAUGCUUGUUGGUGUCACACCUAACGGAUUAAGCAUUCCGCCUGGGGAGUACGGUCGCAAGAUUAAAACUCAAAGGAAUUGACGGGGGCCCGCACAAGCGGUGGAGCAUGUGGUUUAAUUCGACGCAACGCGCAGAACCUUACCAACCCUUGACAUACUUGUCGCGGAUUCCAGAGAUGGAUUCCUUCAGUUCGGCUGGACAAUGUACAGGUGCUGCAUGGCUGUCGUCAGCUCGUGUCGUGAGAUGUUCGGUUAAGUCCGGCAACGAGCGCAACCCACGUCCUUAGUUACCAGCAUUUAGUUGGGUACCCUAAGGAGACUGCCGGUGAUAAGCCGGAGGAAGGUGUGGACGACGUCAAGUCAUCAUGGCCCUUACGGGUUGGGCUACACACGUGCUACAAUGGCAUCUACAGUGAGUUAAUCUCCAAAAGAUGUCUCAGUUCG
RNAcentral lists this ribosomal RNA (874 nucleotides) under uncultured Roseobacter sp. RNAcentral describes it as "bacterial SSU rRNA". It matches the Rfam family "Bacterial small subunit ribosomal RNA", at positions 383 to 1295 of the family's 1533-position model. The record is from RNAcentral. Lineage: Bacteria; Pseudomonadati; Pseudomonadota; Alphaproteobacteria; Rhodobacterales; Roseobacteraceae.